GCGGGUGUAGUUUAGUGGUAAAACCCACAGCCUUCCAAGCUGUUGUCGUGGGUUCGAUUCCCAUCACCCGCUCUA
This 75-nucleotide transfer RNA is filed under the name Caldibacillus debilis GB1. RNAcentral describes it as "tRNA-Gly". It matches the Rfam family "tRNA". Rfam says of the family: Transfer RNA (tRNA) molecules are approximately 80 nucleotides in length. Lineage: Bacteria; Bacillati; Bacillota; Bacilli; Caryophanales; Bacillaceae. The record is from RNAcentral.